UUUAUUAUCAUUUUGUUUGUUUUAUGCUCUCUUUUAUGUUAUUUUCAGAUAUUUAGCUCUUUCGAUCUCUUUCGGAAGAAACGAAGCAAAAAGACCUAAAAUUAGGGGUUUUCGGCGAAUAUUGUACACAUGGCGUUGCACACGGUGGACGCUAUAGGAGAAGCCAUGAAUCAUCAACCCUCAACCAGGAGGUAACCGCCACGUUCCUAUG
RNAcentral lists this long non-coding RNA (211 nucleotides) under Lathyrus oleraceus (garden pea). RNAcentral's name for it is "Pisum sativum (pea) long non-coding RNA (PSAT_LNC026676)". Lineage: Eukaryota; Viridiplantae; Streptophyta; Magnoliopsida; Fabales; Fabaceae. The record is from RNAcentral.